GAAUAAUCGUCGAGCUGACAGGAAAGGAGGGAAAAUGUUGCAGCCUUGGGCAAUGUUGAAUUAUCUUCCUUAACGGGAAAAAUUUUACGUAUAAAGACUAACCUCAGUAAUUUAAAACACUAUAUCGAGGGGAACAAAGAAACAGUUAAAAAACCUAAUAAUAUGGUACAUUGUGAAACUAUAGUAGGUGUUCAAGAUCAAGGUAAUAUAUACAGUUAAUUCAUAAAAAUAAUAUUAAACAAAUAAUUAAGUUUGUA
This is a long non-coding RNA of Gordionus sp. m RMFG-2023, 257 nucleotides long. RefSeq lists it as uncharacterized. The transcript has 3 exons. The record is from RefSeq and is a predicted model, not a curated record. Lineage: Eukaryota; Metazoa; Nematomorpha; Gordioida; Chordodea; Parachordodidae.